This is an RNA transcript of Mesocricetus auratus (golden hamster), 695 nucleotides long. It is a transcript of the gene named protein TCL1B2-like, with no coding region annotated. The record is from RefSeq and is a predicted model, not a curated record. NCBI's taxonomy places the organism in Eukaryota, Metazoa, Chordata, Mammalia, Rodentia, Cricetidae. The transcript is spliced from 4 exons.
CGCAGGGCACCUGGUGAAGCCGGCAGCUGUUUCUAGGGAUUUGUGCUCCUGGCCCAGCUGUAGAAGAACUGGGUUUCUCAUACAUUAUUAUCCCAGCCCCUGCUGCAACCCAUGGUUAGUUCUCCCCCUUUCCCUGCAGGACUGUGUUUUUAGGAAACUAACAGAUCUUUGGACUCCUCACUAUGGCACCUGCUAUCCUGGGUCUACCCCCAGUCAUCCUUAGUCUGGUAACUCCUGGUUACUAUAGGGAUGAGAUGCAGAGACUCUGGAUGGUUGUAAGCCUGCGAUUUACUCCUGACCAUCCAACUCAUAAUAUGCCUCGAGCCUGUAUAAGUGUCAGUUUGUGGCAGGUGAGCGAAUGCUGCUUGAAGUCCUCAUCCCCUUUUUCAUCAAGUUUAACAUGUCUCCCCUUGAAAUGGCAGAGACUUCCUCUGGAAUUGUACUGUGGGACAGACCAAAUGUACUGGAUAAUGGCGGCACAUGUCCAGGAACUGACUAGAUGUGUGUCACCCAGGACUCUGAUGGAUCUUCUUGCUCCUGCAGAUUGGUGACUUAGAGCAACUGGACUUAAAGCUUGGGAUCCCAAUGCGUGAUGGUAGCUCUUCUGGGCCCUGACUCUUGCAGCCUCAGUGAAGAUUUUAUGCAUCUAUUUCUCUGCUUGCUCCACACAUUUCCAGUUUCCAGUCCCUCCUGCU